This 249-nucleotide small nuclear RNA is filed under the name Agrilus planipennis (emerald ash borer). Its description in RNAcentral is "Arthropod 7SK RNA". It matches the Rfam family "Arthropod 7SK RNA". Lineage: Eukaryota; Metazoa; Arthropoda; Insecta; Coleoptera; Buprestidae. The record is from Rfam by way of RNAcentral.
GGAGGUGUUCGUGAUGGCAUUAGCUGAACAUCGAUCGCUUGCGUUUCAUAGGCAGAUCUGCUCAGUGGGUGGCGUCACCAAGUGGUUUCAUUGUCAGCUAAGAGCGUCGUCGAUGCCUUUGUUCGCUCGACUUCGAUCCUGGCUCUCAUGAAUUCAUAAAUUCUUCCAAAUUUAAAUGGGGGGCCGGUCUUAAAGUAAAAUACACCUCCAAGUAACGGCACUACAGUUCGUAGUAUGCCAUUUUUUUUU